RNAcentral lists this ribosomal RNA (296 nucleotides) under uncultured prokaryote. RNAcentral describes it as "partial 16S ribosomal RNA". The record is from RNAcentral.
GCAUUGGCAGGCUAUACAGAAGAGCCAGAACAUCUGCAUGUACUGGGUUGAUGCACCGGAAGACACGACGGUGGAAGUGGUAAUCAUCAGGACCUGAGAAGGCCGGGACGGGAAAGAUUAUGAAACUGGUUGACUGCUAUACCGAAUUGAUUACUUACACGGCUUACCUGGCUGAGAACGUCAACACGCAGCAGUUGCCCUUUGACGAAGUGUCCGCAAAGUAUCAGGAACUGCUGUCGCGCGCGGAGGAAAGCGGAAGCCGCGGAGAGUUUUCAGAAUACGAAAGGCGGGAGGGC